Molecule: non-coding RNA, 3429 nt
Organism: Oryza sativa Japonica Group (Japanese rice)
Lineage: Eukaryota; Viridiplantae; Streptophyta; Magnoliopsida; Poales; Poaceae
Source: RefSeq, a predicted model, not a curated record
UAAAUCCUAACCCUCCCACCAUGUUCGUGAAAGGGUUUUUGGGAAAUGAGCGUUUAGGAUGGUCGAAUUGGAGUACUUGAUUUGGCUCUGGUAGAAAACCCUAGAAAGUUUGCUUCCAAAUUUGCUCUUAUUUUUUCUUGUGUGCGUGCGUGUGCGCAUGUGGCAGAGGAAAUUUAGGAGGUUGGAUGUACCCAGAUUUGGUAUUUUCUGGUGCUUUACCUACAUCGGUACCAAAGUUUUAAUCCCAAUUUUGAGGCCUUCAGGUGUUGUGGUAUGCUAGGAGCUUAAUAAGGUAUCUCCAUGUAACAGGAAUCAUGUAUAUGUGGAAUCAUUUGCAUACUGCUCUAGCUUUUAUGGGUCGAUUUAGGUUCUUUGGAGUAGAUUUGAAUAUUUGAUAGAGUAAUGUUUCUCUUCUUAAAAUUGUGGGUUCUUCAUUGACUUGAUUCUCUGCCAUGUUAGCUACUAUUUUUAAGUGGAUCAGUGUGCUGGCCUCAUUUGAUGCUCUCAAAGUGAAUGAAUAAUACAUCAGAUAGUACUAAAGUCAUGGGCAUUGGAUUGGUUGAAGAAAAUAGGAUUGUUUCUAUGUCAGAGUACAAGGUUGCAUCAAUUGUGGUGCUGUACUAAUAUCGAGUAGAAGGGGCUUCGAUAGCCAUCAUCAGUCAUGUGCUUCCAAAAUGGAUAUUUCAUAAUCUUGAAUUCUAAAUUGAAAAUUGGAAGUACCUUAUCGAAAUGUUAAUUGGUCAUGCCAUCAUAGUUCCACAGUGUUUCUUAUUAUCCUUCUUGUGCCUGUGAUGAGACUUUGUUCUGUUCAUUAAUGCCGGUGGCUGUGCAAUUGAGGGUUGUGAACCCUCUUCAAAGCUUUCUGACGAAUCUUUCUUCGAAGGAGGGGAUGCAAUAUUGACAUCUGAGGAUAUAGUUUGAAGUGUGGUUGGACUGGUAACAGACCCCUUCAUAUGCGUGAUAUUAGGGUGACAGUUGAGAGUAACGGCACCUUUGUCAUAAACUUCAAAGGAGUAAGGGGAAGUCCCAUGGUUUGUGCCAUUUGUAUUCGAAAACGGUAGCAAUAGCAGAACAAGUCCUUGAUAGACAAGCUGAUCAACUGAGAAGUGUUUCCCAAAAGUAUGAUAAUGCCAAUAAAUUAUGGGCAGCUGCCAUAUCUAACUUGGAAAAUAAAAUCAAGGUCAUGAAACAAGAGCAAACAAUGCUAUCUCUUGAAGCACAUGGCCAUGCAAACGCUGUUCCUGAACUGAGUAAGAUGGUAGGGGCUGUUCAAGCAUUAGUUGUGCAGUGUGAAGAUCUUAAACUGAAGUACUAUGAAGAGAUGGCCAAGAGAAAGAAACUUCAUAAUAUUGUUGGGAGACCAAAGGUUCAGGACUGCAGGGAGCUUUUGUACCGUUCAACUCCACGAAUAUGGGCUGCUCGCAUGGUCUUCCUGUGCUGGCGAGGGCAUCGGCUGGUACUGCAGGCUUGGCCGCUGCAAGGGGUGCCGGCGCCGUCGGCAGGGCCCAGCUGUCCCUGCUCCCAAGGGACGACCAUGACUGUUGCAGCCAUAGUGGUGCCCACGCUUUGCAAGGCAGUGAAUGUGAAUUAACGACAUGGUCAGCCACAAAGCAGGUCUGCUUGGGGAUUGCCAGAUUAGCAAGAUCAGUUUCAUUGGUGGAGGUCUGUCACCUGGUGCACUUCGUCAUCGGAUCUUCCUCCUCAACUCCGUCAUGUGCAGAUCCAGCGCACGGUGCGUCACCGUUGUGAAUGUCAAACCGGUUCACCUUGCGAUCAUCCACCGGCUUCCUCGACGUCGUCCUUGAAAGCGACCCUGUGCAGGCAAACAUCUUUCGCUGAAAACUUCAGCAAAGGAGCAGUUGAAGAAUAAGUGAUUGCCAUCUUCGUCUUGAUGCAAGCAGAUUCCGUAUGCACAAUGUUCUUCAUGAGCAAAUUUGUCAUUGUUGGUAGUCGAUUUUUGAAGAUAAGCCAGGCAAAAAUUGUUGCACUCAGAGGGGGGCUGAAUUCUUCUACACAAAUUCCCAGAUUGGACAAGGGGCAGAAGCAGAGGUAUUGAUCUGAUCAUAUAGAGGCAGAGCCUUCCAUGUGAGAGCUUGAGUGCAACCAGCAGGCGGACUGUACUGUCAUCUAUCUUCUUCGUCAUCGAGGUGCACUGCAUUGGUGACAUCAGGUCAUGGGAGUGGCGAGAUGAGACUGUGUACUAGAGAUGCCUACUUUGUAGAUAUCUUGAGACAGUGCAGGUACCUAAUGACAUUGAUCGGCAUGGGGCGGGAGUAGCACCCUUGGACUACACUUUAUUAUUGCACACUAUUGAAAUUUAGUUUUAGACUAUGUUUAUGCAUAGCACAAGUUUUGCGUUGAACUUGUAAAGGUCAUUUAAAGUUCUGGUCCUUAUUUUCACGUGGAAUUUGUGGAGCUAGGAUGGUUUGGAUUGUGUGGAUUAUAUCGGUAUUGACUUUUCUUAUAACUACCUGUUUUCACAUGGAAUUUGUGGAGCUAGAAUGGUUUGUAUUGUGUGGAUUAUAUCGGUACUGAUUUUUCUUAUAACUGCCUGUCGUGGAUGUCCGUAUUUUUUAGGGGAGAUUUUACCGAAAUUUCUAAUAAUUUUGGGACUUAGGUUUUGAGUGUAUUUUGGUGUGGCACUCUAGGUACGUGGUUACCUAGGGUGUUACAGCCGCCACUACAUCCUUCGUCACCAUCGUCGAUGGCCGCUGCUGCGCCCUCUGUUGCCGCCGCCAUCGAAGAAACGGCGGUGGUGACAGAACAGACGUCAAGGAAGGCGGUGGCUGCAGCGACAAGAGGAGAACGGCACGUUGCCAGGCUCUCGAGCUCACCCCUCAUCAGUGAUCCGUUCUUCGCUCAACCUCGCUGUUGUCGCAGGCUCCAAACCUAGAUGACGGUACAAAUCCAGUGGAGCUCUUGCUGCUCGUCACCUCUCAGGCGGCCCAAACGGGGGACACAAUCCUCCUAUGUCGCCGGGACAUGCAUAACUCAAAUGGAGAAAGGCCAUGGAAGGAUUUAAGCAGAGGCAGGAACAACUAGAAUGUGCACUGCUUAUUCAUGUUCUUCCUUCUGUUUCAUAUUACUCAUCGUCGUCGUUCUAGGAUUUAAUUUUAUAUUAAAUUAUUUGUCGUUUUCUCGAUCCAAAGAAAUUUUAAAGGUGAUCGAUAUUAUUCCCUCCCUACCUACAGUAAUGCAGCAAUACAUAUUGAUGCGGUCAUAAUUGGCUCAUCUACUUUGAAAAGAUAAUUAAGAUGUAUCUGACAAGGGCAACCAUGUAAUCUUUCACAUCUUCAUGGUUUGCACGGUAUUUGCCUGGAUAACAAGUAAAUUGGAACAGAGAGAGUACAGUUUUAGACUUUCAGUGUGUUCCUUCCAAUAUAAGAAGGGGUAAUUGCUCAUUUCACCUUGUAGUCUAACCACUAAUUU